UAACAGUCUGUGUUACAGGGGAGUAUAUCUCUUCUGCAGGGGGAGUAGUUCUAUUUUGCAAGGAGAGUUCUUGUUAAACAUGGAUUCUGACCAAUCUAUGCCAAAGGGGGAGAUUGUUGGCGCCAGAUUUCCGACUAUUGAAGAUCGAGGAAAUCCGCCAAGUUUUGGAAUUAAAAGAUUGGCAAAGAUUUAUUUUCCAUGUUUAUUUUGGAAUUUAUUAGAGUCCUAUUUUAUAAUACUUCUAUUAGGACUUAGAUUUAUUUCC
This 265-nucleotide long non-coding RNA is filed under the name Erythranthe guttata (spotted monkey flower). RNAcentral's name for it is "long non-coding RNA (EGUT_LNC000043)". Lineage: Eukaryota; Viridiplantae; Streptophyta; Magnoliopsida; Lamiales; Phrymaceae. The record is from RNAcentral.